Molecule: ribosomal RNA, 178 nt
Filed under: Microbacterium sp.
Lineage: Bacteria; Bacillati; Actinomycetota; Actinomycetes; Micrococcales; Microbacteriaceae
Description: partial 16S ribosomal RNA
Rfam family: Bacterial small subunit ribosomal RNA
Source: RNAcentral
GUCGAACGGUGAACACGGAGCUUGCUCUGUGGGAUCAGUGGCGAACGGGUGAGUAACACGUGAGCAACCUGCCCCUGACUCUGGGAUAAGCGCUGGAAACGGCGUCUAAUACUGGAUACGAGUAGCGACCGCAUGGUCAGUUACUGGAAAGAUUUAUUGGUUGGGGAUGGGCUCGCGG